UGGGGAAUUUUGGACAAUGGGCGAAAGCCUGAUCCAGCAAUGCCGCGUGUGUGAAGAAGGCCUUCGGGUUGUAAAGCACUUUUGUCCGGAAAGAAAUCCUCUGGGUUAAUACUUCGGGGGGAUGACGGUACCGGAAGAAUAAGCACCGGCUAACUACGUGCCAGCAGCCGCGGUAAUACGUAGGGUGCAAGCGUUAAUCGGAAUUACUGGGCGUAAAGCGUGCGCAGGCGGUUUUGUAAGACGGAUGUGAAAUCCCCGGGCUUAACCUGGGAACUGCAUUCGUGACUGCAAGGCUAGAGUAUGGCAGAGGGGGGUAGAAUUCCACGUGUAGCAGUGAAAUGCGUAGAGAUGUGGAGGAAUACCGAUGGCGAAGGCAGCCCCCUGGGCCAAUACUGACGCUCAUGCACGAAAGCGUGGGGAGCAAACAGGAUUAGAUACCCUGGUAGUCCACGCCCUAAACGAUGUCAACUAGUUGUUGGGGAUUCAUUUCCUUAGUAACGUAGCUAACGCGUGAAGUUGACCGCCUGGGGAGUACGGUCGCAAGAUUAAACUCAAAUGAAUUGACGGGGUCAUAGCUGUUUCCU
RNAcentral lists this ribosomal RNA (584 nucleotides) under uncultured bacterium. RNAcentral's name for it is "partial 16S ribosomal RNA". It matches the Rfam family "Bacterial small subunit ribosomal RNA", at positions 355 to 1375 of the family's 1533-position model. The record is from RNAcentral.